This 397-nucleotide ribosomal RNA is filed under the name uncultured bacterium. Its description in RNAcentral is "bacterial SSU rRNA". It matches the Rfam family "Bacterial small subunit ribosomal RNA", at positions 362 to 776 of the family's 1533-position model. The record is from RNAcentral.
UAUUGCACAAUUGGUGUAACCUUGAUGCAGCGACGCCGCGUGAGCGAAGAAGUAUUUCGGUAUGUAAAGCUCUAUCAGCAGGGAAGAAAAUGACGGUACCUGACUAAGAAGCUCCGGCUAAAUACGUGCCAGCAGCCGCGGUAAUACGUAUGGAGCAAGCGUUAUCCGGAUUUACUGGGUGUAAAGGGAGCGUAGGCGGCCUGGCAAGUCUGGUGUGAAAUACCGGGGCCCAACCCCGGGACUGCAUUGGAAACUGCCAGGCUGGAGUGUCGGAGGGGCAGGCGGAAUUCCUAGUGUAGCGGUGAAAUGCGUAGAUAUUAGGAGGAACACCGGUGGCGAAGGCGGCUUACUGGACUGUAACUGACACUGAGGCUCGAAAGCGUGGGGAGCAAACAGG